AGCGGCGAACGGGUGAGUAACACGUAGGUGAUCUGCCCAUCAGACGGGGACAACGAUUGGAAACGAUCGCUAAUACCGGAUAGGACGAAAGUUUAAAGGUGCUUCUGGCACCGCUGAUGGAUGAGCCUGCGGCGCAUUAGCUAGUUGGUAGGGUAAAGGCCUACCAAGGCGACGAUGCGUAGCCGACCUGAGAGGGUGAACGGCCACACUGGGACUGAGACACGGCCCAGACUCCUACGGGAGGCAGCAGUAGGGAAUCUUCGGCAAUGGGCGAAAGCCUGACCGAGCAACGCCGCGUGAAUGAUGAAGGCCUUCGGGUUGUAAAAUUCUGUUAUAAGGGAAGAACGACUUUAGUAGGAAAUGGCUAGAGUGUGACGGUACCUUAUGAGAAAGCCACGGCUAACUACGUGACAGCAGCCGCGGUAAUACGUAGGUGGCGAGCGUUAUCCGGAAUUAUUGGGCGUAAAGAGCGCGCAGGUGGUUGAUUAAGUCUGAUGUGAAAGCCCACGGCUUAACCGUGGAGGGUCAUUGGAAACUGGUCGACUUGAGUGCAGAAGAGGGAAGUGGAAUUCCAUGUGUAGCGGUGAAAUGCGUAGAGAUAUGGAGGAACACCAGUGGCGAAGGCGGCUUCCUGGUCUGUAACUGACACUGAGGCGCGAAAGCGUGGGGGAGCAAACAGGAUUAGAUACCCUGGUAGUCCACGCCGUAACGAUGAGUGCUAAGUGU
RNAcentral lists this ribosomal RNA (726 nucleotides) under uncultured bacterium. RNAcentral describes it as "bacterial SSU rRNA". It matches the Rfam family "Bacterial small subunit ribosomal RNA", at positions 94 to 823 of the family's 1533-position model. The record is from RNAcentral.